This 25042-nucleotide long non-coding RNA is filed under the name Vitis vinifera (wine grape). RNAcentral describes it as "long non-coding RNA (VVIN_LNC003109)". Lineage: Eukaryota; Viridiplantae; Streptophyta; Magnoliopsida; Vitales; Vitaceae. The record is from RNAcentral.
UGCAUGGAGAUUAACAAGGAUGACAUGACCAAAGCUAAUUUCAUUGUGAGAAUGCUAAACAAAUUCCAUAUGCUAUCCUAUUCCACUGAGCAAUGGUUCAACUAAUUCCUACCCCCAGACAAGGGAUGGGCCAAUUUUCUUUGGGGGAAAAGGGCAUCGACGAAUCAGUUUUGGCCACUUCACACAUUUGAUAAGAAAAGUUAUAGAAAAUUUUAGAGAGUGCAAAUGGGGAAGAGUUCCAGCUACUACUCACAAAGCCUAAUCCUCCGAAUCUGUUGAGGGGUUGACCGGCAGUGUAAUUCUUGCAGAACUGACUAGUGAGAAUUUUUGCAUGAGGAAGGCCAAGAACGGCAGCUGAGAUGUUCCCACUCUGGAAUUCGCCAUGAUAUUGGUUUUGGUUGCAAAUAUUCUUGAUAUGAGCUCCUUCGAAAUUAAACACGUUCUCUAAGUAUUGCCUCACAAAUGAAGCACCAUUACAACCAACCACAGACCUAGUAGCUUUUAGCCAUUCGAUAUCCAUCACAUUGGAAUCAAGUCGUUGGACAGUGAGCAUGGAAGAGAGACUAGCAGUGUAGCUCGAGGUUAAAACGAAGACUACAAACAGCCACACCACUAUCACUACUCGAGUAAUAUUGCUACGAAUUGUCUCCCCUGGGAAAUGAAACAACAGCUAGCUUUCUGAGUAAUUUAAUUAUUGAGCAAACCAAAAUCUCUUCCAUUUUUAAUACUAAUACUAAUACUUACUAUGAGCAAAGAAAAGAGAAGAGAAGGUGAACCAAAGAGCAGUCCCAAGCUGACUCCUCCAUGGGCCUCUGAAUGCCGGAUUAUUGGAUUGGUACUCCAGUACCCAAACUAUGAACAUGGUGUAGAUCAAGAGGGCACCUGUGACUACCCACGUUUCCCAGGUGAAAGUCUUCAGGAACAUCCAUGCCUUGUGAGGUUCUUCAGACGUUACUUGUACUAUCACCAAUCCCGACUCAGCAUAUGGCACUGUGAAUUCCACUUUUUUUGAACGGGUGGCAAGUAUUGUCACAUCCCCAACCACAGCAUCAUAGGUCUUCCAUGUAUUUGAUUCACAAGAGAUAUGCACAAAAUUUCUAUCAGAAACAAAUGAUUGAAACAAAUACAAAGUAUGAUUCAUGAAUUCUGAGAGUUAAUCUUCAGUACUAUGUUCACUGCUCUUUCAUGGGGAUGAAGUCAAAACCUAAUAUACCAGAAAAGUCUACUGAACAGUCCUCUUCAAAACCUAAUAUACCAGAAAAGUCUACUGAGCAGUUCUUUGGAAGGCAUAAAAAUUGAGAAGUUUCAAGGGUUUGAAAAACCUAAUUAGGGAAAUAUAUAUUUCCACAUAAAACUUCCUUAAAUUCUUGCGCUCUUGCUGUAGUAAAGCAGGCAAAUAUUAACUAGGAGAGAAAUGAGGUUCAGUCUGACUUUGAUUUUCAUUUAAACCAACCACAUGUUAAUUGGGUCAGUAAGCUAGACAAGCUUUUUUUGAGUCAUUAGAAAAGGAAGAAGGUUUACUGAUGAAAUCACAACAUAAAUCAUGGACGCAAAUGUGAAGUUGAGAUUUAAUUCCAGUGUGGGGAAUAUCAGGAUUAUUGAGAACGAUUUAAAGAGCAAAAGCUAGGGAUGGGAGUAAUUACCUUGUUGUAAACACAAUCAACCAGCUCAUCGUAUGUGCCAACAACUGGAUGGAACUCGUAGGGUAGAGAGUAAUUUUGCUCCAAAAUUUUUAACACCUCGUGGAAAAUAUCAAUACAGAAACCAGUAUAUUUUUUUUCAGGCUCGAUUUGAUCUACGUCCACCUUCACAUAAUUUUUAAAAGUGGUGUUAGCUGGAAUUCCAAUCUUCAAUGGUUUUGCAACAGUGGGCAUUUCCCAUCCCUUGGGGACACGUUUUAGGUACCCUGGCCAAAUCACUGGACCAUCCAAAACCUUCGUGGUGUUUCUACCGCAAUUUUUGUCUCCACCUUCUCUGUUGAGAGGGUUGUCCAAGUCCUGCGUCCAACAGUCAAGCUCCUUGUAGUUCGUUCUAACAACGUUUAUAAUCCUGAACGGCAACGAAUUUGAAUUUGAUAGAUCACCCCCUUCAAAAAUAAUAUUGCCACUUAAACCACUGAAGUUGCUUGAUAAUAUAUUUUUUAACAACAUUUUUGGAGUAUUAGUAUCAUCACUAGCUAAUCUCUCUAGGGCCCGUGUGAUGACAGCAAUGCUAUCAUAUGCUCGUAGUGCAUGAAUUCCUGGCUGGGCGUUGUCUUCCUCUGGGUAUUCAGAUUUAAAAUUUUUCUGAAACUGGGCAGAGAAUUCUUGGAAGGGCCUAUUGGAUUUGGAUUGGGAAUAGUAGGACUUGAUUCCUAGAGCCCCUUCCAUAUAGGAGAUAACGGAGGUGUCCAUGGAAUCCAGGAAGCUUGAAAUGCUAUCUGUAAUUAUCCAGGCUGAGUCUUUCCCCAUAAAAUCCAUCCGCCUUGCUUCUUGGAACAAUUGGGUAGCCAUUGGUAAAGACGAUUGAAGAACAAUGAAAACCCUGGAUUGUGUGCUCAGAAGCUUCAAGAGCUCUUGAUGGACAGCUCCUCUUGGAUCAGAUAGAGAUGAUAUGGGAGGAAGAGGCAAAUGGUACUCAAUCUCCGAGCCAACUCUUUGAAGAGCUUCAGAUAAAAUAGUUAACAUCUCAGCGUUCCCACCGUACGCAUCAUCUUCAUAGAUUGCGAUGACUCUUCGCCAGUGAUAGGAGUGAACGAUAGCUGCAAUGCACCUUAUUUGUUCAGAAACAUUGGUGCCCAUUUGUAUCAGGGUGGACCUUCCAAGCUGCCUCGAUGGCCGGACACUCGCGGCUGCCGCCAAUGAAAGAACUGGUACUUGAGCUUGGUUUCCGAUUUCAGCAGCUAAAGCUGCUUGCUGCCAUGUAUCCAUGCCCACAAUCACUUGCACUUUCUUCUCUUUAAUCAGUUCUUCAGCUGUAAUUAAAUGUUAUGAGCCCCAUCAAUUGUAUUCCAUUUUUGUUCUGCCUAUUUCAUUCAUAUUCAGUACAUAACAGUGUUUUUCAAUACAUGGAAGCAAUAAAAAUCCAUUUCCACCUAUUUCAAUUUCUUUUCUUUUUCUAAAUGAUGAGUGAUGCUUAAAACAAGUUUUUCAAGUUAUCCUAAAUUUAUUUUUUAGAGGAAAACUUAAGAAUGAAAAAAAAAAAGGAAAAGAAAAAGGAAAAACAUUAGAAUUUAAUAUUUUUUUAUUUUACUAUGAUUGCGAAAUGACCAAUAUAAAGACAUCCAUCUCUCUAUAUCUUCCUACUUUUAUUUUUUAAAAUUUAAAAAAAAAUUAAUAUAAAAAAUAAAAAUAAUUAUUUUUACUUCUCUAUAUCCAUUCAAAGUUUAACCCUAAUUCUUCCUUUGUCCUUUCCUCUGCCUCGUCCCUUCUUUUCCUUCCUAAUGGGUCAUGAAUGAUACAAAGGAAGAGAAUAAAAGGGAAACAAAAUUGAGGUGGGUGUUAAAGAAGAUGAGGAUAAUUUUAUCCUUUCAUAUUUAAUUUUUAAUUUAAAAUAAAUAAAUAAAAUAAAAAAUAGAAGAUAUAUAAGUGACGUAGAGAUAGUUUGGGUGGCUGAUGUUAUAACCACUCGUGUAUCAUUCUAGAGGAUUAAUGUUGAAAAUAAUAGGAGAUUAGACAGCCGUAGAAGGAAUCAAGGAAGAGAUGACCAACCUGUUAAGGCUGCCCCAUAGAGUUCUCCGGUGAAGUUCCGGGAGAUAAGAGAGAGCUUAUGAUUCUUGGAAUUGUUAUUGAACUUAUCCACAGCUAUCUUGAUGGCGGUUAUUUCCUCUUUACCUUUACGAGAAUUAGCAUCAAUGAUUGCCCCAAUGAUGGUGGAGUUGUCAUCUACUGCUGUGCCGGUGAUGUAUCCAAGAUGGCAGACAAUUAAAAGAAUGGAGGUAAGUGAAAAGUAGAUGAAACAUGGUGUUGGAGAAUUCAGUGGGGAGGGCAUUUCUGCUCUUAGCAACCAGCAAGCAAUUAGUGCCUUAAAGGAGAUUCUUCUAAGCUUAAAUAAAUAUAAAUUCACAAGUAGAAUAUUCAUUUCGAAUCCCCAGUAUGAAGUUUCCUUCUUACUUCGUAAGUCAAUUCUUGCUGGGGAAUUCCCUUCCAUUACUUCCAUUCUCCUUGUACGCGGUAUUCAAAGCCAACCGCAUGGAUUUAUGGCCAAGGACAAAGAAGAUUAAACAAUGUGUCGUUUUCAUUCAAGGAUUUAGUGGUGUUGGAGGUAAGCGAAAAAUAGAAGAAACAUGGUGUCGGAGGAUUUAGUGGGAAGGGCAUUUCGGCUUUUAGCAACCAGCAUGAAAGUGCCUCGACUUUGAAUCCACGAGUUGAAUUCUUUAUUUUGAAUCCCCAAUACGAAGUUCCCUGCUUGCUUCGUAUAUGAAUGCAUGCUGUGUUGAAAUCACUGAUUCACUGAAGGAUAGACACAAAGAAUAUUCAAACAUGAGACUACAUGCAUUUAUGGUCAAGGAAAUCACUGAAUUAACAUCCUUCAUUCCUUUAAUACUUUUGGUUUUAUCUACGAGAGAGAGAGAAUCUCGAUGGUGAUCGAACAAAAAGCGUGGAUUUUUUUAUAAUUAUUUUUUAAAUAAAAAAAUUUAAAAAUAUUUUUAGAAUGUGUUUUUGAGCUGAGAAAUUUUUUUUUUCAUUUUACUAAUAAGAAAAUAUUUUUAUAAAACGUUUCCAAAUAGAUUCUAAAUGUCAAGUUUUAGAUUUUGGUAAGAAUUGUGGUUAGAUGAUGCUGGAUUGAUCAUCAUGAUAAUACCACUUAAAAAAAAUUAUCAAUAUCAUCACAUGAUUAUUUCUCAUCUUAUACUAUUUAUAUAAUUCAACAAGCCUAUAUUUUGACUUAAUGAAGCUUAUAAAUUUAUAAUAUCUUUCAAAAGGGAGAAACAAUCUGGUGCUUAUGCCCCGCAUGCUGAGAUAUACAACUCCAUUCAUGCUCUGCCUUGCUAAUUGAUCAUCAAUUGGUGGAAUAUUUCAUUAACUAAGAAAGUCUUGAAUAUUUCAAUUUUUUCUAAUCGAUCUCUAAUCAAUGGAUGUCAUCAUUAACUAAUAGUUGUCAUAUGUUUCCACAAACAUUAGAGAUAAAACCGAAAAAAAAUCAUUUUUCUUAAUUUUUAUGAUAAAGGGGUAUUUUUAGAAGUUGACAAAUGCGUUAAUAUGAUAAGAAUAAACCUUGGAAAAUUAUUCAAAUUUGUCAAACUAAUUGUUCAAGGCUCUAGAAGAAAAAAUGAGAACAUUCUAAUUCCAAAUACUUUGAAUGUGUUCAAUUUUCAAAGUAUUGAUAAAAUUUACAAUGACUUGAUUGUGUCAUAUUUGACUUGGUCAUGGUCAUACAAGAUUAAUAAAAUAGUUUUUCUGCAAUUCAACACUAACUUCAUUCCAAACAUCAACUCCAUUCCAAAUUAAUUGGUAUGUCUCAUUUAUUUUGACUAAUUCACACUUUCAUUCCAAACAUCAACGCCAUUCCAACUUAAUUGGUAUGUCUCAUUUAUUUUGACUAAUUCACACUAACUUCAUUCCAAACAUCAACACCAUUCCAACUUAAUUGGUAUGUCUCAUUUAUUUUGACUCAUUCAUGAUCAACUCUCAAAAUGAUUGUAUUAUGACUCCAAUAUAUAAAAAUAAAUAAAUAAAAUAAAAAUUAAAAUUAAAUAAGGAGAAUUGUUGUUCUCAUAAAUUCCUUACCUUAAUGAAAAAAAAAAAAAAAGGAAUUGAAAAUUUUAAAUCUCUAUUUUUAGAAGAAGAUCGAUUGACCUUUCAAAGUAUCCUGAGCUAUAAGUUCUUCAUUUUCCUCUCAUUCUCUAUUUAGAGAUUGCAUCUUCUCCCUUAUAAGUAUUGGCCACAAUGUUGACUUGACUAAGGUGAAUGGCUUCUUGCAAAUGUUUGUUGUGAAAGAGUACUUCUAGAAAAAAGUUGACAAAUACAUUGAUAAGAUGAUAAGAAACCUAUGCUUGAGAAUCACUAAACAAAAGUGGGUUAGAGAAUCUAAAAAGUUGAUUGAAACUAAUUAAUUAAACGAAAGCAUUGAAAUGGUGGUAUAUACAAACAAAGUUAUCUUUACUUUAGCAAUAAAUUAAGAAAUUUUAUGCUAAAUAAUAUGAAUUUAAGACUUUUGUUUUAAUGAAAAAAAAAUCAUUGAUCUUAAAAUUUUCAUUAAAUAUUGAAAUAAUGAUAAAUAAUAUGAUCUUCAAUAUAUAUAUAUAAAGUAUAACAAAAAUGCCAAAUACUUUUUUCAUAAAAUAAAAGAAUAUACAAGACAAAUUUCCUUUUUAACUGAACAAAUAAUGAUUUACUUCCUAUAAUUUGAUGACAUUCAUGAAUUUGUCCCUCUUGAGCUAAUCUCCAAAUGUGAAUAGAAUUCUUCUCAUUAGAAUAAUAACAAUUUUAAAGUCACCUUGAUUCCAAGACCGAUAAAUUCAUAAUUUUUCUUGCUUGAUUAGCAUCUCCAAAAAUCAUGCAUUCCAUCUUAACCAUUAUUGUAUCACUAAAAUAUAUGUAAAUUGUCAUUUGAAUGUGCUUACAAGUCUCUAAAAUAAAUUAAUUAAAAUUUAACGUAAAAAUAAAUUAAUAAGAGGAUCUAUCAAAUCCAUUAAUGCCCAAAAACUCUAAAACUUCUUUUUAAAAUACAUAAGAUUAGCUAAGGAUAAAUAUUGGAAACUAAUAGAAUAUUGGUGUUUAGUAAUUGGAGCCAAAAUAUGUGCCCCAAUGACACAUAAACACUAUUAUUUAUGUAACAUAAAAGGCUAGAAUCACCCAACUUAACUCAAUUUGAUGCUAAGAUCCUAGUUAUGGAUCUAACUUAUAUUUUGAACUUAAUUCCAGGUGUAAGAAAUGAAAAAAAUGCUAAGUGCAAAAGCCAUUUUUUCAACCAAGGUAGAGGGAAAGGUUAAAAAAAAUGCAGACUCAAGACUUAUGGAGCAUGAGAAGACCAUAAAAAUAAGAGAAUCGCAAGCAUGAAAGAUGAGCAACUAAUGUUACGGAGAGAAUUAGAGAGCAAGCAACCAUGAAAAAAGAAGGUUUGAAACAAAUGCAAUCGAGCUUAAAAUGGAAUUUGAAACUCAAACCUAGUAAUAACACAUACCCUGAAUUUAAAGGGAAUUUUGGAGCAACUUUCAUAAUCUUUUUGAGUGAUUCCACAUAUGAUUUUGAAUUUGAAGAAGUCAAGAAUCCAACUCUUCAAAUAACUCAUGAUUUGGAGUUGAAAUGAAGAAGAUGUGAGCAAUUAAAAAGAAUUGUGCAAAGAGAAACCAAAGAAGUAUCAAUUUCACAAGAUGUGCAAAAUGGAAUAGAGUUAAAUUUUAUAAGAGCUAAGAAACCUAUGGGAAUUUCUUUCGCAUUAACAUGCAAAUAUUGACACAACCAUGCCAAAACCACUAGAAUUGUGUUGAAGUGUUGCCAAACCAUUUCCAUUUCACAUGAUCAUGCAAAAUUGGUAAUCCUCAUGAGAAAUUAAAGAGUUUUAUUGUUACACGUCUCUUUCAGGGUUAGACUAUAUGUAUUUGCUAUGAUUAAAGGGGAGAAAAAUGGAGAGAGAAAGGAAUUGAACUUUUUUUUUUUCAAUUCUUUAAUAAAUCUUUAGUUUUUUUUUUCUCUCUUUUCCAUCUUUCUAUUUUAUUUUAUUGGCAACCAAACAUGGGUUGUGAGGAAAAAUCCUCCAUCAUGUUUGGAUAAUUUAAUAGAUCCAGAGAUGUUAAUAGGAAUGUGAAGAAUCCAAAUGAGUAGUAAGAAAUGGUAAUGAAUUAAUUGGGUUUCUUUAUGUUUUCAUAUUUGAAUUAGUAGGAUUAAAUCAUCUCUAUUUGUUUACCCUAGAUAAGGUAUAAAGGAUUCUUACCAAGGUAUUAGUGAUUGUUGGAAAGAUCUUAAUCACUAGUUAACUCAAUUUGAUCCUAUUGUUAGCAAAUCUAAAAGUCGAAUCUACAAUAUGGAUAUGGGCUCUUGAUUGAAUAGAAUUGAAAAAUAAAAUCAACCCUUAUAUUUAAUUGGUUUGAGAGAUUUGUGCUUAAAAAAAUAAAGAUCUAAAUUUCAGAUCCAAUAAUGAUCAUGGGAUUCAAUUUGGUCUCAAAUUGACUUUAAUCCUAUAACCUAGAUUUUACAAGACUCACUUUUUAGGGAUUCAAUGUUGGAUUGUUCAACUCUUAAGGACAUUUUCUUUUAUUUUAUCAAUUUCAUUAAAUACUUUAAGAAAAUUUUAUUUAUAUUUAUUUAAAUUAGGUUUUAUUACCUUUAGAAAAUAAUUCAUCAUUCCAACCUAAAAUUAAUUAAACACAUUAGUGUUGAUCCUAGAGGGUGGCAACUUGAAAUACUACAAAGUCAUGGUAACUCCAUCUCUGGUUUUUUUUUUUUUUUUUUUUGCCAAAGUUAUCACGUAUUUAGGCUUUUAGUAUUUUAAUUAGAAAAGAGAUUUGUGGUCAAUUAGCAAUAAUAUAAUAUGUGAUGGCAAGAAAUAUGUAUUUUAAAAAAUACACUCAUUACUAAUAUAAAGUAAAUAUUUGAUUUAAUUAAAUGUCAAUAAUGUUAAGAUAGAGUUCUUAAAAUCAUGACAUGAGGCAAUGAUAAAUGGAUUUUAUUAUUUAUAUUAUGAUUCUAGUUUCCCAAUUUCUCUAUCCUAUUCAUGCAUUACACUCACUAAGCUUUUAGGAUUGGUAUCUCUUGCAUUAUACAUAACUUCGGCGCAUUAUACAUAGCUCUUAUAAAAUUUAACUCUAUUCCAUUUCGCACAUCUUGUGAAAUUGAUACUUCUUUGGUUUCUCUUUGCACAAUUCUCUUCAAUUGCUCACAUCUUCUUCAUUUCAACUCCAAAUCAUGAGCUAUUUGAAGAGUUGGAUUCUUUACUUCUUCAAAUUCAAAAUCAUAUGUGGAAUCACUCAAAAAGAUUAUGAAAGUUGCUCCAAAAUUCCCUUUGAGAUAGUAUGUCCACUUGGGUGAUCCUAAAGACACGUGUUCAAGCAAAUUAUGCACACAGUAGUUAAUUCCUUAAUUCGAAACUUGACAUGAGUUCUUUGUGAGUUAGUGUACAUGUCAGUUGAUCACAAAAUAGGAGGAUUUAUAACUUAAUGACUUUAGAAUUGUUCUUCAUCAUAAAGAAAUCACUUGUGAACAUCUGAAUCUUUGGUAAGCACUCUAAUCUCACUCUUCUAGACCCUAAGAAUGUAUUGAAUGCAUAUUUUUCCACUAUAUGUAGGUUCUAGUCGCUUUAAGGAAGUUUCAUGCACCUAACAAGGUCUAGGGCUAGGGGACAAAGUUAUCUGAAGUUUCCUACACUAAAAUCAUUAAUGACUUUGAUCUACUGGUGAGACACUAAGGUUGUUAUAUAUUCCUAAUAGAUUGGUCACUAUUAAUGGAAAUUAGUGACAACAUGUAUAUUCAAGAGAGGCACCACAAUAUCUCAUUGGUUUGAGACAGUGUGUCCUCUUAGGUGAUCCUAAUGACAUGUGAUUAGGAAAUAUGUGGUUAUAAUAAUUCCUUAAUUAGAAUUUGACAUAUACUCUUAGAGAGUUAGAAUAUGUUAGUUGAUCACAUAAUAAAAGGAUAUGAGACUCAAAGAUUGCAGAGGUAAUUUUGAGAGGUUGAUAACAUAUACUUUGUUAAAUUACGGAUACUAGUUCCUAGAAAGUCUACAAACAAUGGAUAGUAGGUCAUAAACUUGAGUUCUUGUAGUGUAAUUGACUCUUUAUAGUAGGAUGUUGAGUUAACUUUAAAACUUAGAUUAUGAGGGAGCUAAUAUAUUUCUAUAUGUUUUAGUGAUCUCCGCUCAAACUUAUAUUUUUUUAUGGCACAUUUAUUGAGGGGUAUUUAGGUUAUUUAUUCAUAUGUGUGAAUAACAGUAUUUUAGUUAAUACUCAAGAUUGCACAAGAGCUUGUAAAUGGUCUCUCUAGACUAGGGUAAUAGAUUAAUUAGAGACUGAUAUGACCAAUUAAUUAAUUAAGACCCAAGUAGAUUGGAUUAGGGGUUUAUAACUAUAUAAAUCCACAAAGAAGCCUAUAUAAACCCUCUUAGAGGUUUAAGCCUUCAUUUUUGACAUUACAAUCUUCCUAUUCACUUCAAAGAGAAGAAAUGCUUAGUCACCACCCCUCUAUGAUACUUCCACUACCUUCAGUGAUAAGAGUAAAGGAAAGAGAGUUAUCAGGUGGAAGAUUCCUAGGCUUGUGAGAUCCAAGUUAUUCUUUAUCGACAAGAAACAAUUGAGGAACAUUCAAGUAUAAAGUAAAACACUUUAAACCUCUAGAUCUACAUUUUUUUUUUUUUUAUGUUUGUAUUCUUCUACUUGUUAGAUCUGGAGAGCUUUAAGAAGAUUUUUCAUGAUUUUUCGAUCCAAGGCUAAGAAUGGAGUAAUCUAUGGAUUCCCACAAAUAAUUUAUACAAAUUACAUUCUAAUGGUUCUAUCUUAUAUUAAAAUAAAGGUCAUUAGUUUUUGUGAAAUUAAGGCUAGUCUUAUUAGGAAAAUCAACCAAGAGGGGGGUGAAUUAGGUUUUUGAAAAACUUUUCUAAUCACUACAAAUUUAAUAAUAAUAAUAAGGCAUAAAUAUAAAAAAAUUGAGUUAGAGAGAGCAAAUGCAAAUUUUAUAGUGGUUCGACACCCCUUGCCUACAUCCACUCUUCUCAAGCUCCAAUCGAUUGAGGGUUCCACUAUCCUUGAAACUUCAACUAAGCUUCCAAUGUCUUUACACUUGGAUUUUGGCUCUAAGGGGCACUUACACAAUCCCUUUAAGAAUUUACCAACUUGAAGCUGUCAAUGCUCACAAAACUCACAUAAACAACAAGGAAGUAAACUCUCAACCUAGCUCAAUAAAUGCUCAAAUAAAAAAGAAGGUUAGGAUGAAUGACAAAGGGUGCACUAAAGAGUAUGCAAGUGAAGAAUCAAUGCACCAAAGAAAGAAAAUAAGAGCUUUAAAUGAAAAACAAGUAAUUAGACAAUUGAUUGCAUGUGUUCCCUUACUCAUAAAUGAAGUAAAGUUUUCUAUUUAUAGGUUUCUAGUCUUGAGAACCAAAAAUAACAUAAAAAUGCCUCAUCCGGUCGAGCUCCGAUUCAAUCGAUUGACUAGUCGUUGGGCAUUAAAUGCAUAGUUAGUGACCGUUAGGCCUCAACCGAACCUCAAUUGGGAACACCUAGCCCUCAACCAGGAAAGGUCUCACCCUCAACCAAGAAUGAAACCUUUCUAGAAGAGAAAGAAAAAAAAAUUGCAUCUCUCGAUCGGAAUUAGAUGGAAUAUAGAAAAUCUUAUGUCCUAAGCCUCUAAAUUUGUUCAUUAUGUAUUUCUUUUUAUAUUAAUUUUGUUCUUAUUAAUUAUUUAUAUAUAUUAUUAUUUUGUGCUUAAAGUGUCUAUAAAUAAUUAAAAUCAAUAACUUUGAAAAGAUGAAAGAGUAAAAAUUUGAAAUUAAAAAAUCUUUCAUAUACAUAUAUUUAAAAAAAAAAAAAGUCAAAGGUAUUAUGGAGAAAGGAAAAGAUAAAAAAUAAAUAAAAAAUAAAAAAUCGUGAGGCAUGAUUGGUUACUACAAUUCAUAGUUUUCUUUUUUAUAUAUAUAAAAAAAAUUAAACAAAAAUAGACAACCAUGAUGAGCUUUGCAUCUUUGAUUUGUCGUGUCAAAGUUAAAAAAUAAAAUAAAAAAUGAGGUAGUUAAUUGAAAGUAAAGGUGGUUUAGAAAGUAGUUUUGGAAUUUUGAUAAUAUCAUGCAUGUUUGUAGGAUUAUUUUCUCCAAAAUGUAUGUGUUUUGAAAGUCAAAAGUCAAAAUUUUCAACUUUUUUUAGGUGUUGCAUGAUUAUAUGAUUCUCAUCCAUGGUUUCAACAUACUUCUUGGAAUUGGAGCUUUCUAGGAAUUUUGAUUUAGGGUUUCUUAAUUAAUAAGGGUAAAUUUCUAGGGAAUUAGAGCUUUCUAAAAGGUCACCAAUUUUAUGAAUUAGCAAAGACAACUUAGAAGAGGAUAAUUUUACUUCUUGAAUGACAUUUUUUUUCCUAUUGCUCCUUAUAAAUAUAAGAAAAACAAAAUAAAACAUGAUCCAAUGGUUUACUUAUAUAAUUUGUGAAAAAAGAAUGAGAGAUACUUAAAUCAAGAAAACCACAACAAAACCCUAAACUUUAACCGUUUGAUUCCCUUAUCGUCGAUAUUUUCUCCAUAAACAACUACAUGGAAAAGCUUAACUCUUUUUCACAAGGCACACUAAUCUCUUUCUCUCUAUAGAUCUACUUCUUUUCUUCUUCUUUUUUCAUGAGAAGUCCCUUUGUAGUGGUUUUGAUUUCUAGGGUAUCAUUUCGAGUAUUUAAGAAAUUCAAAGAUUUCAAUUUUUAGGUUUUCAUUUUAGAUCCUUCUAUUUUUUCACACCCAAAGAAAACAGGGAACUCUCCAAAAAAACAUUGGUAUUCAAUCUUACACCUCUUUUUUGAGGGCAUGACAAAUGGGAUCUAAAUAACAUAUUGGGCUAUUGGGUUUUGGUUUGUUUUGGAAGUCCUUUUUAAAUUGAAUUUGUUUUAUAUUUCCAUCACCUUCUCCCUUUGUCUCCACCAUUUUUAUUACCACACUCUCUUCUAUUACUAUGAUUUUUAUUUUUCAAUGUUGCUUGUUAGGUUUUAAUUCUAGGUUUUUGUUUUAUAUUUCAAAGGCUUAUAGCUAGCUCCAAGUGUACAAAUAAUAACAUCAUUUUGAUUCUCUUAUUAUUAUUAUUUUUUAUUCAACAUGGAUUAGGACAAAAUCCUUAAAAGCAUAACAUGAUGUAAAAAUAAAUGAUUUUUUAUUAUUAUUUAUAAUAUGUUUCCAUUUUCCCAUUUAUAUAUCUAUCAUUUUUUCAUACUUCAUAUUUUAUGAGUAUUGAAGCCUAGCAUCACUUACAUUAUAAAUAAUUUGGAUGUAUUACAAAUUGUAUAGAAGAUCGAAGUCAUAGGUUUCUUGUAAGUUAAUUAUUCAUUAACAGUUGAUUAAGCAAUGUAUUUAAGGUUAUAGUGUACUACCUUCUAAUUGGAUGAAUGACUUGCUUUAGUUUUUAGGAUAAGGUUUUCAUGGUGAAUGCAUUAGUAUAAAUGGUUAUACAAUAGACAAAAUCUAUAAUGAGUCAUAAUAUUGAUUAUUAAGUAGUCAUGAUUUCACCAAAUUACUAUAUGGUAUAUAUUCUUAACUUUAAGAGAAUAUUAAGGUAGUGUUGGGAUCUUUAAUAACUUUGACCUAUUUGUGAAACCUUAAAGUAAACAUAUAUUCCUUAUAUCAAGGAUCUUAUAACAUUUAUUAAAAAAAACCUAAUUAUUUAUUCUAAGUAAAAUAGUAGUACAUAAACUCAACAGCUAGUCUCUAUUGAGUGUAUAUGGUUGCAGUAGGGGGAGAAGUCUCAAGAGACUCCGGCACAUCAGAAGGGCUCACCCUUGAGUUCAUAGUCGCAGUAGGUGGAGAGGCCUCAAGAGGCUCCGGGCAUCAGAAGGGCUCACUGUUGACCACCUUGCAGAGAUCCAUUCAUCUCCAGUGGAACGAGAAGACAAAUUUGACAGUCUUUCAUUAGGAAUCUCAGUUUGUCCAUUAUGAAAGAAAUGUACUAAUUGAACAGUCUUCAUCCAGACACUUUCAUCACUUCUGGAUGGCUGUUUACGAUUAAAAUCGAUGAGCAGGCGAAGGAAGAACAGUACAAUGUAGAGGGUGGAAGUGGCGCCACAUAAAAGGUAGAGAGCCCAGAAGUUCCCGAGGCUCAGUUCAUCAUUUUCGGUGGCUGAACACUCGGCAGAACAAGGAAACCACUUUUCUUCUAAUGCUUUUAGAAUCCUCUUCUCAGAUAUGGUUAGGAUGGCUUCAGAAACAUCAGCAGCUAAUGGAGAGCCUUUCUGAAAGGCCUGCAUGGAGAUCAACAAGGAUGACAUGACCAAAGCUAAUUUCAUUGUGACAAUGCUAAAAGAAUUCCAUAUGCUAUCCUACUCCACUGAGCAAUGGUUCAACUAAUUCAAUUCCUACCACCAGUCAAGGGAUGGGACAAUUUUCUUUGGGGGAAAAGGGCAUCAACAAAUCAGUUUGGGCCACUUCAUACAUGUGUUAAGAGAAGUUGCAGAAAAUUUUAGAGAAUGCAAAUGGGGAAGAGUUCCAGUUACUACUCACAAAGACUAAUCCUCCAAAUCUGUUGAGGGGUUGGCCGGCAGUGUAAUUCUUGCAGAACUGGCUGGUGAAAACUUUUGCAUAAGGAAGUUGAAGAAAGGCAGCUGACAUGUUCCCACUCUGGAAUUCGCCAGGAUAUUGGUAUUGGUUGCUAAUAUUCUUGAUAUCAGCUCCUUCGAAUUUAAACACGUUCUCUAAGUAUUCCCUCGUAAAUGCAGCACCAUCACAACCAACCACAGACCUAGUAGCUUUUAGCCAUUCGAUAUCCAUCACAUUGGGUUCAAGUCGUCGGACAGUGAGCAUUGAAGAGAGACUAGCAGUGUAGCUCGAGGUUAAAACGAAGACUACAAACAGCCACACCACUAUCACUACUCGAGUAAUAUUGCUACGAAUUGUCUCCCCUGGAAAAUGAAACAAUGGCUAGCUUUCUGAGUUAUUUAAUUAUUGAGCAACCAAAAUCUCUUCCAUUUUUAAUAUUACUACUUACUAUGAGCAAAGAAAAGAGAAGAGAAGGUGAACCAAAGAGCAGUCCCGAGCUGACUCUUCCAUGGGCCUCUGAAUGCUGGAUUAUUGGAUUGGUACGAUCCAGUACCCAAACUAUGAACAUGGUGUAGAUCAAGAGGGCACCUGUGACUACCCACAUUUCCAUGGUGAAAGGCUUCAGGAACAUCCAUGCCUUGUGAGGUUCUUUAGGCCUUGCUUGUAUUAUCACCAAUCCCGACUCGGCAUAUGGCAGUGUGAAUUCCACUUUUUUUGAACGGGUGGCAAGUAUAGUCACAUCGCCAACCACAGCAUCAAAGGUCUUCCAUGUAUUUGAUAGGCAUAAAAUCUCUCAGAGACAAAUGAUUGAAACAAAUAUGAAGUAUGAUUCAGGAAUUCUGAGCGUUAAUCUUCUGUACUAUGUUCACUGCUGUCUCAUGGGGAUAAAGUCAAAACUUAAUAUACCAGAAAAGUCUACCGGGCAGGAUUUCUUUGGGAGGCAUAAAAAUUGAGAAGUUUCGAGGGUUUGAAAAACCUAAUUAUGGAAAUAUAUAUUUCAUAUAAAAUCUUUCAUAAACUCCGGCGCUCUUGUAGAAAAGCAGGCAAGUGUUAACUAGAGAGGUUCAGUUUGACUUUGAUUAUCAUUUAUCAAGCGAUUGUUUCAAUUGUUUUCCUUUAAACAAACGACAUGUUAAUUUGGUCAGCAAGCAAGACAUGCUUUUUGAGAAAUUAGAAAAGGGGGAAGGUUUACUGAUGAAAUCACAACACAAACACCUGCUGAAGUUACAAAUAAAUCUUGGUCGCUAAUGUGAAGUUGAGAUUUAAUUCUGGUGUGGGGAAUAUCAUGAUUAUUGAGAAAGAUUUAAAGAGCUAAGGCUAGAGAUAGGAGUAAAUACCUUGUUAUAAACACAAUAUUCAACCAGCUCGUCAUAUGUGCCAAAAAAUGGAUGGAACUUGUAGGGUAGAGAGUAAUUUUGCUCCAGAAUUUUUACCACCUCUCGGAAAAUAUCAAUACAGAAACCAGUAUAUUUUUUUUCAGGCUCGAUUUGAGCUUCGCCCACCUCCACAAAAUUUUUAAAAGUGCCGUUAGCUGGAAUUCCAAUCUUCAAUGGUUUUGGAUCAGUGGGCAUUUCCCAUCCCUUGGGGACACGUUUUAGGUACCCUGGCCAAAUCACUGGACCCUCCAAAAUCCUUGUGGUGUUUCUACCGCUAUUUUUGUCUCCACCUUCUCUGCUGAAAGGGUUGUCCAAGUCCUGUGUCCAAAAGUCAAGAUCCUUGUAGCCUUUUCCAACAAAGUUUAUAAUCCUGAAUGGCAACGAAUUUGAAUUUGAAAAAUUAAUUGUUCCACUUAAACCACUAAAGUUGCUUGAUAAUAUAUUUUUUAACAACAUUUUUGGAGUAUCAGUAUCACCAACUAAUCUCUCCAGGGCCCAUGUGAUGACAGCAAUGCCAUCAUAUGCUCGUAGUGCAUGAAUUCCUGGCUGGCCGUUGUCUUCCUUUGGAUAUUCAGAUUUAAAAUUUUUCUGAAACUGGGCAGAGAAUUCUUGGAAGGGCCUAUUGGAUUUGGAAUAGCAGGACUUGAUUCCUAGAGCCCCUUCCAUAUAGGGGAUAACAGAGGUGUCCAUGGAAUCCAGGAAGCUUGAAAUGCUAUCUGUAACUAUCCAGGCUGAGUCUUUCCCCAUAAAAUCCAUCCGCCUUGCUUCUUGGAACAAAUGGAUAGCCAUCGGUAAUGAUGAUUGAAGAACAAUGAAAACCCUGGAUUGUGUGCUCAGAAGCUUCAAGAGCUCUUGAUGGACAGCUCCUCUUGGAUCAGAUAGAGAUGAUAUGGGAGGAAGAGACAAAUGGUACUCGAUCUCCGAUCCAACUCCUUGAAGAGCUUCAGAUAAAAUAGUUAACAACUCAGCGUUGCCACCGUACGCAUCAUCUUCAUAGAUUGUGAUGACACUUCGCCAGUGAUAGGAGUAAACGAUAGCUGAAAUGCACCUUAUUUGUUCAGAAACAUUGGUGCCCAUUUGUACCAGGGUGGGCCUUCCAAGCUGCCUCGACGGCCGGACACUCGCAGAUGCAGCCAAUGAAAGAACUGGUACUUGAGCUUGGUUUCCGAUUUCAGCAGCUAAAGCUGCUUGCUGCCAUGUAUCCAUGCCCACAAUCACUUGCACUUUCUUCUCUUUAAUCAGUUCUUCAGCUGCAAUUAUAUCUCACUUAUUUCAUUCAAAAUUCAAUACAUAAUAAUGUUUUCAAUGCAUGGAAGCAGUAAAAUCCUAUUUCCAUCUCUUUCAUUUGUUUUUCCCUUAAAAGGAAAACAAUGAUAAGUACUGAUUCGUCCCUAGCAGUGGCAGUGGCAAUGGCACCAUUUGAUUCGGGGUUCGAUCCCCGGCAACGGCGCCAUUUGAUUCGUGCCCAAUUGGUGUCUCAGCUGAUUCGUGUCCAGCUGGUGCUCCUUGAUUGAGGGAGUAAUCAACAAAAUUUAUAACCUAUUACACUAUAUACUAGGGUAGCAAAGACAAAGCUACUAUAGUAUAGUGGCUCUAGGAUCGUUCACUGGGAUGGGUUUUCACUUUGCAAAUGAUAUUAAUUCAAAGCUGAAUUGGUGUCUUUUCAUUUCAAGGUUAGCUUUAAAAGAAAACAUAAAGAUGUUUGAAUGAAAAAGGUUUGGUUUUAAACUAAUCAAAAAUAGUAAUUGAUUUUACUUACAAAGAAAAGAUGUUUCUUGGAGUUCAGAUCACUAGGCUCGUUCCUCAUACAAAAUGGGAGUUCCGGUCACUUGUUUCUUUUCCUCGCAUUAGAGAAUUAACAUAUAGUUCCUUCUCCAACCGGUGUUGUACAGAUGCUUCCCAUCAAUGGGUUCAAACACUAAAUCCCUCUCACUGAUGCAACUUGCAAUGGUUCAUGCCUCUCACGAGCACUUACCAUUCAAGAUGAUCUUUAACCUUGGACUUCCCUUCAAAAGCUCGCAAGAGAUAACUAAUGGAUGUCUCCUUGGAGUCCAAAAGCUUACCAAGUGUUGGCUAUUCUAGAAAAUCCUACCUUCAAGUCACCUCCCAAAGGCUCGCAAGGGGUAAACUAGUGCAUCUCCAUGGACGGAGAUCACUUGCCUUACCAAGUGUUGGCCCAGGUGAUUUAAAGGCAUUUUAAGUUAACUAAAAAGAUAAAAACCAUUAACGGGUUACACUUUCUCUUCAUUAAAAACUAAAACAACAAAACUUCCAAAUUAUGCAUGUGGAAACUUACCCGGCUUUCCUCACUCCAAGAGACAAAAGGCUUAGCCUCUCAUCCUCUGAGGAAAAAUCCUCAGAGUUUGGUUGGCUAGAAAAUGAAAAUGAAAUGAAAAAUGAAAGAGAAGGAAAAACAGAGCAAGGCUCUGUAUAUUCUAUAUAUGAUCAAUAUUACGGAUUACAUAUAUGGUCCUCCUCCUUUACAGUGGAUGCAAGGGAAUAUAUAUAGAGGAGUUUUUCCAACCUUCCUAGCUAAGAAAUCUUGUGGUUGGUGGCUUACAAGGAGAAGAAUGGAAAUUUAUACACAAAAAUCUGAAGAAAAAUAUCUAAAAGAGUCGGUGCAAAAAUAUCGGGAAGCUCCAGGAACAUUUCGCAGGUGAAAAAUGGUGUCUGCGAGAUUUCGCAGACACUCAAGAGGGCUGCGAAAUAUUUUCGCAACAACAAGUUAAACUCGCAGGGCUGCGAAAUUGGCUUCCACCUUGAGGUUCUCAGAGUUCCAGCUUGCGGCAUGUAUCGGGUAGCUUCAGGAGGAAUUCCAUAGCACUGUACAAAAAGGCUGCGAAAUUCUCGCAACAAAAGGCUGAUUUCGCAACACUUUGGAGUGAUCUGCUUGCAAUGGCUGUAACUCCUUCGUUUCAACUCCGAAUCGCGUACCGUUUGAAGCAUUGGAUUCUUGACUUCCUGAUCUUUGAAAUGGUAUAUAGAAUGUAGAAAAUGGACUUCGGGAAGUGCUCCAAAAGUGCGCAUGAAGACUGCAGCUGCUUGUCCUCUGUUUUCUUCACUCUGUUUUUCCUUUCUCCUUGCUUCUCUCCUUGCAUACUUUGAACGACUUUGGCAAAGGGAUAUGGAGCUCCAAAGCUUGGUUUCUUCAUGAAUUUGAGCUUCCAAAAGCUUUGCCAUGAAUUCCAAAUAGCUCAUCCAUCAUUUGGCAUGCUUGAAUUGAUUCAUAAGCUGAUAAAAACAUGUAAACUUGCCACAAAAUAGUUAAAACCAAUUACUAAGGACCUUAAUGAAUUAAUUGGGUUAAAUGAAUAUGAUUACUACUCAAAGGUGCUUAAAACCAUUAUAAUUAGGUCUACAAAAUAGCACUUUUUGGUAGUAAUCAAGUACUACUUAAAACAAGUUUUUCAAGUUAUUUAAAAAUAAAUAAAGGAAAAUUUAAGAGUGAAAAAAAGAAAAAAAAAUGAAAAGCAUUGCAAUUUAAUAUAUAGGUGCAGUCGCAACAACUUUAGAAGAGAAGACCAACAGACCAACCUAUUAAAGCCGCCCGGUUGAGUUCGCCGGUGAAGUCCCGGGAGAUAAUAGAGUGCUUAUGAUUCUUGGAAUUAUUAUUGAACUUGUCCACGGCUAUCUUCAUGGCCGUCAUUUCCUCUUUACCUUUACGAGAAUUAGAGUCAAUGAUUGCCCCAAUGAUGGUGGAGGUGAUAUCUGCCGCUGUGGCUGUGAUGUAUCCAUGAUGGGAGACAAUUAAAAGGAUGGAGAUAAGUGAAAAACAGAAGAAACAUGGUGUUUGGGUAUUUAGUGGGAAGGGCAUUUCGGCUCUUAGCAAGUAAUAAGCAAGUGCCUUGGAAGGAGAUUGUUCCUAGCUUAUAUAACUGUGAAUCCAGCGGGCUUAAGCACAAGUAGUAGAAUCUUUCAUAGUGAAUUCCCAUGAAGUUUCCUGCUUGCUUCCUAAGUCAAUGCUUGCUGUGCUAAAAUCAAUGAAGGAUGGACACAAUGAAACUCCCUCCCCAUUACUUAAUUUCAUACGUUCUUUUCAACCGUAAGUACAUGUCUCUGUGAAAUAAUUCUCUCCAUGGUACUGUUCCUGUUUUGUGAAGUUGUAGGUCUUGGAAGUUGGAAGUCAUUGUCAACCACCUGUUGUUAGUUUAACAAAUAAAGAAUAUAAUAUGUAUAUUAAAUCCAAAUCUUAUGAGUUUUAAUUAGUUCAUUAGUUUGGUGUAGAGGGAGUCAUUCAAACCACCUCUUGGCAAUUUACAUAUUCAUUUCCCUAUUUAUCUAUGUGUAAGUUCAAAAAGGGUUAUUUGCAUUUGCAGGAGUAUCUCUUCACGUAUGAGUGUGGGGCUGCAAAUGAGAGAAGAUGUUAAAAAAAAUGAAUUUUAUAAGUUUAAGCUUUUAGGAAGAUUAGCAAUUCAAUAAACAGAGUUUUGAAAUUUAUUACAUUUUAAUGGGAUAAAAUUCAAUAAAAUUAAGAGUGUGUUUGACAGUGAUUUUAGGAAGUACUUUUAUCAUUUCUAAUACUUGAAAAUUUUUAUUUUUUAAGUAUUAAAAAGAUUAUAUACACUUCCUAAAAUCACUACCAUAUGAGAAAAUACUUCCAAUAUUUGUAACACUUCAAAAUUUUUAUCAUUCAAGUAUUAGAAUGAUUAAAAUUGUUUUUUAAAAUCACUACCAAACGUAUUUUUAGUUUAUAAACAUAUCCAAGAAACUAAGAUGAAAUAGUUCAAGGAUACAAAAUAGAAAAUUAUGAUAUUUUUAUCUUAAAAAUUCAGUCAAUUACAUAACAGUAGAAAAUAAACUCGUAACAAAUCUUAUAUAAAUGGGAGUGGUCUAUAUUAACUCAUAUAUUUGAUAUAAAACAAAUAAGAGGUGUAUUAUAGCCCUCUUAUAGAGGAAUUUUUUCAAGAAAAAAUCCAUUUCUAUUUUUUUACUAUUUCUUUUAUGUUUAUGGUCUUUUUAAUUAUGGGUUAAUUUUUCCAAGUUCGUUAUGCUUCACCACUCCGAAGUUUCUACAUGAAUACGACAUAGAAAAAAUUCUACAUAGCAUGGAUAUAAAAGUGUUUGUGUCAAAGUCAUAUAAGGUUAAAAAAUAGAUUAAAAAUUUGAGUUAAAACAUGUUGAUAUGUUGCACAUCAUACAUUUUAGAUAUAAAAAUAAAUUAAUUUAUAUAACUUGCGCUCCAAGCCUGAGUUAAAGUUUGAUAUAUAAUAAGACUUGUACAUCCACAUAUUUUAGAUAUAAAAAAUGAAUUGAUUCAUAUAACUUGCACUCCAUGCCCAAGUUAUAAUUUGAUAUACAACGAGAUUUAAAUAUCACUUCUAUUGAGUCACACCCGCUUAACUCGUAUAAAUUGAGAUAACACUGAUACAUGCAAAUCAUAUAUGUAAGAGUUCACAAAACCAAUAAUAACAACAAAUUAGUUUAUUUUCAAAUAUUUUUCAAAAUCAUUUUUAUUUGUAGUAUUUUAGUUUCAAUUAUUUUUCAUAUUUAUAUAACUAUUUUUUAAAAUAAUUUUAGAAAACAAAUACAAAUAAUUAAAAUAUAUUCUUAAAUAAUAUUCUGAUUUUAGAAUAAAUUCUUAAUGAACUAUCAAUCAUAUUUUGGAAUCUAAAAAAUAAGUGCCAUGCAUCACAGUACUACUUAAAAAAUCUGUGGUUCACGUCAUAUGAUUGUUUGUCAUGAUUACCAUUUAUAUAAUCCAACAAGAAGUCCAUUGAAAGGGAAGGAAUCUUAUAGUAUCCUUAUAAAAUAUUUGAGCUCCAAAAUGGGGAAACAAUCCAGUGCUUAUGCCUCACAUGCUAGUCGGCCGUGGUGAUUGGUCAUCGAUUAUUUUUUAACUAAACAAUUACACUAAAUAUUGAUAUGAAUUUAAAACAUUAGAUUAAAAAAUUACACUGAAUGAUAUGAAUUUAAAACUUUUGUUUAUCAUACAUUUUAUUGUGAUAUUAUAUUUAUCCUUAUUUAUUUAAAUAAUUACAAAAAUACCAUAUAUCAUAUACAUUCUAGGAUGGACCGUAAAUAAUGGUGAAAUAUAUGACAAAUUACAAGUUGUUAACACAUCAAAAAUUAUCCUCUUCAACAUGCAACUCUUCAUACUGUAACACGUGCAUGGCUUUGGAAGUGCUUCUCAACUUAACACAUCGAAUUACUCUUUAUUUAAGAAACUUUUUUUUUUUUUUCUACUUUUCUCUCUUGUAGAAUUUCUCUGAAUACAGUUGGUGAUUCUUUGUUCUACCUAGGUUCUCUCCAAAACUUUUCUUUUAACUUUUUUUUCUUUUCAUUUUAUUUCUGCAUUUCAUUUGGAUUUUAUUCUCAGAAUAAAAUAGAUAAAAAGUAGAUAUAAUAAACAAUUAAAGAGUAAUAACAAGAAGAUUUAAUCCUAAAAUUAAUAUUAUUUUACCCUUUAUAAGAAAUAAGAAGGGAAUAGCAGACACUCAUGUUUAAUUUAGAAAAACCGGAGCUUAUCUCUGAUGGUGAGAUGCUCCCCAUCAGAGAAGCCGCGAUUGGACAGCUCUGGAUCUAUGAGUCCCCACCAUCUUAAAAACCCCACCAACAAAAACAAUCAUGAAGAUUCACUCUUUCCCUCAACACUUCAAGCACUUGUUGCAGUGAAUAGAGACAAUAUUUUCCACUCUAUCUCUAAUCCUUGGACUUCUCCCUAACUUAGCCAUUACCAUUAGUACUAAACUUAAAACCUAUUUUAAAAUCUGAAUUCCAAACAUAGUAUAAAAUGAAGUCUCCCUGUAUAUGCCGAUGAAAAAGAGGGAAAGAAAAGAUAGAGGAAAGAGGUGUGUUUGGUUUGGUUUUGUUUUGGAGUGAGGCUUUAAGAGUUGUGAAAAUGGUUGACGGUGUGAUUGAGACGUGGGAAAUGGAAAACUCUAGCAAAAAGGAUCAAAACUAGGAAUGGAAUGGUAGUUAUGGAAUAAAAUAAUCAGUUUAUGAAAAUGGAAUAAUUAUCCAUUUUACAUUAUGUGGAUAGUCGAUAUACACUAUAUAAUCAAAUAUACAAGUAUAGAAAGUACCUCCUAUUCAUGAAGUUGUAAUAAAUUUAUGAGGAAAGCGGUUAUUGUUGAGAAAUCUAAAACUGAAAAGGAAAUUAAAAUUCUUAUAUGAAUUUGUAAUAGAUAUAUGAGGUAAAGGGUUGUUGUUGGGAAUUCUAAAAUUGGAAAGAAAUUUUAGAAUUCUUAUAGAAAUGGAAUCAUAGUUUAAAUAGAAAAACCGUCUAAAAAUAUUAUAUAAUAUUUUUAAUUAUUUAAUCAAACUUAUGAAAAAAUAAUUUAUUAAAAAAACUUAAUUACUUAAUUAAUUAAUUAAUUAAAUUUUUUCUUUUAAAACUUGAUUUUUUUUUAUGAUAGUUAAAUCAAAGAAACAUUCUAGACUGCACAUAUAAAGAAAUAGCUUAACUUGGGGUUUUAUUUUUUAAACUGUUAAUUAAAUAAUAAUAAUAAUAAUAAUAAAUGUAGUUUAUCAUAAUAUUUUUAUUUUUUAUUAUUUAAUAAUAGAUAAGUAAAGAAAACUUACCUUAAUGUUGAAUAGAUAAAGGAGAUAAAUAGGUAACCUAUAUAAAUAAAUUAGUUAAAUGAAAAUAAUUUCUUUAACCAAUCAACUAUUGACCUAAGUAGAAUAAGUUUUUCUUUGAUAGUCAUUCUUCAUUCCAACUUGGAAUUGUUAUUAAUCUUCAAAUUCAAUACUUGUUAUUUGAAUUGAAAUUUUAUUUUAUUUUUUAAAUUAAGACUUAUGUGGUGUUUGUUUUUUUACUUAAUUCUAAAUAGAACUUUAAUGCUUAAUAGUGUUAAAUAUUAGGUUGUUUGUUUUUAUAGUAUUUUAUUUCUCGUAAGUAUUAAAAAAUAUAAAAAAAAACAAUAUGUUAUUUUUUCUAUUUAGAAAAAGUUACAUAUUUUGGUUUUUUUCUAUUUAGUAAAAAAUUUAUAAUAAGUCAUGAAAAUUUUCAAACACCAUUAGUUAUUUUCUAAUUACAGUAGGUAUCACAAAAGUGGGGUGUUUUUUUCUUUGGUAUUUAUAAAUGCUCACACUUCUAUACCUAGCUUUAAUACUUUUUUUUAUAGAAGAUUACGAAAGUAUAAUUUCUGUUUAUUUUGGUUUGAUAAAGAGUUAGCAAUUUAUUAUUAUUUUAAUUUUCUAAAAGUUUAAAAAAUAUAAUGGCUUUGACCUACAUACGAAACCUUAACGAUAGGAUAUUCCUUAUGCAAAUGAUCUUACAACAUUUAUUUAAAAAAAAAAAAAAAACUAAUUAUGCAUUCAAUCUGAGUAAACUAGUAGAACAUAAGCUCAACAGCUUGUUUCUAUCAAGUCUACAUGGUUGCAGUUGGGGGAGGGGUCUCAGGAGGCUCAUGCUCAUCAGAAGGGCUCACCCUUGAGUUCAUAGUUGCAGUUGGUGGAGAGGCCUCAGGGGACUCCGGGGCCUCAGGAGGCUCUGGGGCUUCAGAAGGACUCACUGUUGACCACCUUGGGGUGCUCCAUUCAUCUCCAGUGAGACGGGGAGACAAAUUUGACGGUCUUUCAUUAGGAAUCUCAGUUUGUCCACUAUGAAAGAAAUGUACUAAUUGAACGGUCUUCAUCCAGACACUUUCAUCAUUUGGGUUUGCAUUACUUCUGGAUGCCUGGUGGCGUUUAAAAUCGAUGAGCAGGCGAAGGAAGAACAGUAGAAAGCAGAGGGUGGAAGUGGCGCCACAUAAAAGGUAGAGAGCCCAGAAGCUCCGGAGGCUCAGUUCAUCAGUUUCGGUGGUGGAACACUCGGCAGAACGAGGAAACCACUCAUCUUCUAAUGCUUUUAGAAUCCCCUCCUCAGAUAUGGUUAGGAUGGCUUCAGAGACAUCAGCAGCUAGUGGAGAGCCUUUCUGAAAGGCCUGCAGGGAGAUUAACAAGGAUGAAAUGACCAAAGGUGAUUUCAUUGUAAGAAUGCUAAGCAAAUUCCAUAUACCGUAUGCUAUCCUAUCCCACUGAGCAAAGGUUCAACUAAUCUCCACCCCGAGACAAGGGAUGGGCCAAUUUUCUUUGGGGAAAAAGGGCAUAGACAAGGGAAAUCAAUUUGGGCCACUCCAUACAUUUGGUAGCCUAAACGUUCCUCCCUCGAGCAAUUUUCCUAAGAAAAAUGUAGUGAAUGCACAUGGGGAAGAGUUCGAGUUACUACUCACAAAGCCUAAUCCUCCGAAUCUGUUGAGGGUUUCGGAGGCGGUGUAAUUCUUGCAGAACUGAUUGAUGAAAACUUUUGCAUAAGGAAGUUCAAGAAAGGCAGCUGAGAUGUUCCCACUCUGGAAUUCGCCAGGAUAUUGGUAUUGGUUGCUAAUAUUCUUGAUAUCAGGCCCUUCGAAUUUAAUCACAUUCUCCAAGUAUUUCCUCACAAAUGAAUCACCAUCACAACCAACCACAGAUUUGGUAGCUUUUAGCCAUUCGACAUCCAUCACAUCGGGUACAAUCCGUUGGACAGUGAGCAUUGAAGAAAGACUAGCAGUGUAGCUGGAGGUUAAGACGAAGACAACAAAUAGCCACACCACUAUCACUACUCGAGUAAUAUUGCUACG